GAUGAACGCUGGCGGCGUGCCUAAUACAUGCAAGUCGAGCGAACAGAUGAGGAGCUUGCUCCUCUGACGUUAGCGGCGGACGGGUGAGUAACACGUGGAUAACCUACCUAUAAGACUGGGAUAACUUCGGGAAACCGGGGCUAAUACCGGAUAAUAUAUUGAACCGCAUGGUUCUAUAGUGAAAGAUGGUUUUGCUAUCACUUAUAGAUGGAUCCGCGCCGCAUUAGCUAGUUGGUAAGGUAACGGCUUACCAAGGCGACGAUGCGUAGCCGACCUGAGAGGGUGAUCGGCCACACUGGAACUGAGACACGGUCCAGACUCCUACGGGAGGCAGCAGUAGGGAAUCUUCCGCAAUGGGCGAAAGCCUGACGGAGCAACGCCGCGUGAGUGAUGAAGGUCUUCGGAUCGUAAAACUCUGUUAUUAGGGAAGAACAAAUGUGUAAGUAACUAUGCACGUCUUGACGGUACCUAAUCAGAAAGCCACGGCUAACUACGUG
RNAcentral lists this ribosomal RNA (497 nucleotides) under uncultured bacterium. RNAcentral's name for it is "partial 16S ribosomal RNA". It matches the Rfam family "Bacterial small subunit ribosomal RNA", at positions 28 to 507 of the family's 1533-position model. The record is from RNAcentral.